GCAAGCUCGAGAUCGCCAUGGGAGAAGCUCGCAAGAUCGGCGUCGCCCUCGACUUCUCCAAGAGCAGCAAGCACGCGCUAGCCUGGGCCGUCGAGAACCUCCUCGACAAGGGCGACACCCUCAUCGUCCUCCACGUCCGCCACCACAAAGGCGAGGAAUCGAAGAACAAUCUCUGGUCUAAAUCCGGAUCUCCGCUGGUGCCGUUGAAGGAGUUCCGGGAGCCGGAGGUGAUGAAGCACUAUGACGUGGAGUGUGAUAUGGAGGUGCUGGAUCUGCUGGACACUGUGUCGAGGCAGAAGGAGGUGACGAUCGUGAUGAAGAUUUACUGGGGGGAUGCGAGGGAGAAGCUGUGCCAGGCGGUGGAGGAUAUGAAGCUGGAUUCGCUGGUCAUGGGGAGCAGAGGGCUCGGCCAGCUCAAGAGGAUCUUACUGGGAAGUGUUACAAACUAUGUCCUAUCAACUGCAUCUUGCCCUGUGACUGUUGUAAAGGAGCCCAACUUCAAGGUUUGAUGGCUGCUCUGACCUGGCUGGGUUUUCGGGUGAGCUGGGAGGGAUGCCAAACUGUUAGAUUAUUAUUACAGAUUGUGUUGUAUCAUUUCAAGCUCAUACCUGUAUCUAGUAUGACAAUAAAUCUCCCCGG
This 639-nucleotide unclassified non-coding RNA is filed under the name Hevea brasiliensis (rubber tree). The record is from RNAcentral. Lineage: Eukaryota; Viridiplantae; Streptophyta; Magnoliopsida; Malpighiales; Euphorbiaceae.